ACCAGAUUGGACGUGGCUAACUAUCGGCGGCGCCAUCCACCACCGCAGCAAGUCGCCGGCGGAUCCCAGCUCGCUGCUCUGCGGCCCAUCGAGGAGAGCGAUAAGACCCUCGGCUCAACCCUCGCCCUCGCCGAACCGGCGAGGUAAGCCGCAUCGGCCUCCUCCGCUGGCGGCGGCGCUACCCGGCUGACCACGACGCAUUUCCGUCGAUGCAUUUCGCACACGCGAUGGGCGCAAGUACGGCCGCCGACGCCUCCGCAGGGCCGUGCUCGAUGUACCGCCGGCGGCAGCCUUCUCGGGGUCGGGGGGAUCCCAGCCUUUCUCCGGAAAUGUCUCCCCCGUCGGGAUCGAGUUCAUACCCUCAGCCAGCUCCGUCCACCUCUGGCCCACCCGGACCACGGCGGCCUCCACUGCUGAUGAUUUUGGUAUUCAGGCCAGAGAUUCAGACAGGGGACCAAACUGGACCGCCCCCCUGGCUUGCAUACCAGGCUCGGAUUGUCGCGACUCUCGAGCAUCGGGUGCUCAAUGUCAAGUCUGGACACUGCCGAGCAAAUAGCGCGUUGCAAAGUACUUCAAACAGCUCCGAGCAAGGAUUAGUCUCAUGACAAUGCUGGAUGGCGCACAAGGAGGGGCAUGCCAGCGACGUGGGAGAACCCGGUGUCCGGCAGGAACAUCGAUGUCUCUGAUGCUGCUUGGGGUAACUCCUGUCCGGCAGUUGCAGCCGACUUCCUGUCAGAAACUUCGCCCAUUGCUGUUGACCAGCACGUAGGUUUCGACAGAUGUGCUCCCAGGUUGUGGCAUAAUGUUGCCCAGUUUCCAUGUGUCGGAUUACCUGUGCUUUGCAAGUACCGGGCUGUGGUAACAAGAGCAAGGGGUAAACCAUCACACUUCUUCAGUGCCUCCGAGCCAAGC
Aegilops tauschii subsp. strangulata is the source of this 912-nucleotide long non-coding RNA. RefSeq lists it as uncharacterized. The record is from RefSeq and is a predicted model, not a curated record. NCBI's taxonomy places the organism in Eukaryota, Viridiplantae, Streptophyta, Magnoliopsida, Poales, Poaceae.